UAACCCAGACACUAAAAAGCAAGGCAGCGGGGGUCCUACCAGCGCGGCUUUUGAUGACGUCGGUGAAUCCGUCCUCAGCGGCAUUUUCUGGGGUCUCCUGCAGACCCCUCAGCUGUGCCAUAACCAAACGCCACGUGCCUCAGCUUCCUCACGCCCCAAACUUUGGAAGGCAGGUCACAUGGAAUCUACACAUGGAAGGACAUAGGCAUUGCAUGCAGGUAUCCGGAAUCAUUGAUAUUGGUCUUAAAAUUUGGAAGUUUCCACUUUUGCUAAGCCAUGUGAGGACACAACAAGAAGGCAUCACCAAUGAAGAAUAGGCCUUCAUCAGACAUCCAAUCUGCAGGCCUCUUGAUCUUGGACUUCCUAAUCUACAGAAUUGUGCUGCUCUGUUGGAGCUCUCUGUCUGUGAGGUGCAUUCUACCAGCACAGGAGCUAUGAUGUGGGACCCCAGGAGGUCCUCCUCCCCUGGGCACCUGAGACUGCACAGCAAGCAGAUGUCAUGAUUGCAUAUUUAGAAAACCCCAUCGUCUCAGCCCAAAAGCUCCUUAAGCUGAUAAGCAACUUCAGCAAAGUCUCAGGAUACAAAAUCAAUGUGCAAAAAUCACAAGCAUUCCUAUACACCAAUAGCGGACAGACAGAAAGCCAAAUCAUGAGUGAACUCCCAUUCACAAUUGCUACAGAGAAUAAAAUACCUAGGAAUACAACUUACCAGGGAUGUGAAGAACCUCUUCAAGGAGAACUACAAACCAUGCUCAAGGAAAUAAGAGAGGACACAAACAAAUGGAAAAAACAUUCCAUGCUCAUGUAUAGGAAGAAUCAGUAUUGUGAAAAUGGCCAUACUGCCCAAAGUAAUUUAUAGAUUCAAUGCUAUUCCCAUCAAGAUACCAUUGACUUUCUUCACAGAAUUAGAAAAAAACUACUUUAAAUUUCAUAUAGAACCAUAAAAGAGCCUGUAUAGUCAAGGCAAUCCUAAGCAAAAAGAACAAAGCUGGAGGCAUCACACUACCUGACUUCAAACUAUACUACAAUGCUACAGUAACCAAAACAGCAUGGUACUGGUACCAAAACAGAUAUAUAGACCAAUGGAACAGAACACAGCCCUCAGAAAUAAUGCCACACAUCUACAACCAUCUGAUCUUUGACAAACCUGACGAAAACAAGCAAUGGGGAAAGGAUUCCCUAUUUAAUAAAUGGUGUUGAGAAAACUGGCUAGUCAUAUGCAGAGAUUUAUUUUUGUAAUAUGGGACAUAAAAUUCGGUAUUUAUUGAGGUUUAAAAUAUCCAUCUAUGCUUAUCAAGCUAAAUACAUUGACUUUUACAUUGUAAUUAUAAAAUGUGUAAAUGUGUAUCAUUGUUCUUACUUGAUAAUAAAAUAUUUGGUUAUCUCAUUUUUGUUAGAGCAGAGUAAUGUAUUUAACAUUAAAUAUAAAUUAGAAUCUAAAGUCUACAGUGGGAACUAAAAUCACUGUUAGAAUUUGAAAAAU
Molecule: long non-coding RNA, 1483 nt
Filed under: Homo sapiens (human)
Lineage: Eukaryota; Metazoa; Chordata; Mammalia; Primates; Hominidae
Description: novel transcript
Source: RNAcentral